Acyrthosiphon pisum (pea aphid) is the source of this 46-nucleotide non-coding RNA. NCBI's taxonomy places the organism in Eukaryota, Metazoa, Arthropoda, Insecta, Hemiptera, Aphididae. The record is from Rfam.
UAAAGGGUCCUUUUAAGGACCACCAUCAGUUCUUUUCAGAGCUUUU